Molecule: long non-coding RNA, 738 nt
Organism: Gasterosteus aculeatus aculeatus (three-spined stickleback)
Lineage: Eukaryota; Metazoa; Chordata; Actinopteri; Perciformes; Gasterosteidae
Source: Ensembl
GUGGUGGCUCAGCUUUGCUAUUUAAAACUCAAGCUGACUGUCAUGUUUACUGGCUGCUCAGCAGUGGACGUUGCUGUCUGUUGGGUGCUUUAAGAAGUUGGUGAACGUCCCAGUGCACCGUGCAGCUACAGUGGCGAGUGGUGCAUAAAAGGUAUACAGGACACUGCUAAUCGUAUUUGUCCAGUAUGUGAUUUUAGUCCCUGGCUCCUUGAUUGUGUUGCUGAAAAUAUUUGCUGAGUCCAAAGUUUCAACACAGCUAGUUAGUAGUACAGCACAGUGUCUGUACGUCGCACGUCCCAAAUCUGCUUGUUUGCUGCAAGCUGCUCUUUCCGCUUUAAGCAGUGUGUGUGUGUGUGUGUGUGUGUGUGUGUGUGUGUGUGUUGAGUGUAUUGAAUUCAACUGAAUGAUAUUAACUCUGGAUUUGCUCAUUUGCUUGUUUCAAUUUGCACACCAUUUUUUUAAAAACAUCUUUUCUGAACACCUCAAGCUCAUAAUUGGUGCAAAGAAGUUCCUCAGCUGGUUGUGGCAGCUGAUCUUUUAGGAGUUACUCAAACAGUUCCGCAGUGAUGAAGGCAAAAAGGGCCUUUCCACUUGAAUGAUGUUUUCGGGCGUAGACUUUGUGCCCGGCCCUUCCCCUCACAGGACAAAUGGGAAGCUCGUUCUCUUCCUCCGGCAAUGGUUUCAAAUAUUCACAAACGCUACAGGCGAGACGGCUUAACCUGGGUGUAUAGAGGAAAG